CGUCAAAGCAGAUUAUUGAGUUGUGUAUAACGUGGACUUAACAGGCUUCCUUCAAACGUUUUCCAAGAUUAUUGAGAAUCCAGAUAGCUUAACAAUGUAGAUGGAGAGCUAAGAUCAACAAAGAGAGGAAAAAGUUAUACUUAUUCGCAGCUAAGACAAGUUGGUAUGCGUUGCAACUGAUAUAUGUAGUGCUAAAAAAUUUCCAGUAGUUCAAAGUGAGCCUAGCAGUGCAAUUUUUUAUUCUCUUCUCUUAACGAAGUAGUGUUUUUCUGGAUUGCAAGAAUGUGACUAGUUUCUCAAAGAUGAAGAUUUAAAUAAUUGUUGCAGGUCAUAGUAGAGAACAAAAUGGCUUUGUGAAGCCUAUGGAUAGUCCUCUGUUACUAACUUGAUGCCAAGCAUUCCUAAGAACAUAAACAAAAUCAUAGAAUUUGGUUGGAUCAGCAGAAAGUUGAAAUUAGUAGGAGGUGACUCUGCUGGCAUUGUGAAAGCAUUUUAUCUAAGUUCAAUAAAAUAUUCGUACACUUCUAUUAUUCUGGUGGAAAUUUUGACAAUAGACAUAAUACUCUAUUUUUGGUGAGUACAUUGGGUGCAGGUGUCCUCAGAAAUGAGAUAAGACUUUUGAGUUCUUAUAAAAAACAACAGAGAAGCGUCAUCUUAUUCACAGAAAUGUGUAUAACAAUGGCAAUGGUGGGCAUGAGAUCUUUUUUUUGGUUUUACACCGGGUAGAUUCAUUAAACAAGUAAAUACUUCCUUCAGAAAUAUAGAAAAUAUUUGUAAAUGCAGGUUUUUGGUGUAUAAGGUACUGAUAAAGAUAUUUGUAAAUGCAGGUUUUUGGUGUAUAAGAUACCGAUAAAGAUAUAUAAGUUAUUUCCACUUUAUUUUGAUCUGGAUUUUGAUUGUUAUCUCGAUAUACAUAUUUAUAAAAUUAUACACUACACUCAUGUUGGGCCCGGGCUACUUUUACUAGUAACAGAAUAAAGGAAAGCAUCUGGCAGUGCAAUCUGCUCAAUUUUUAUAUAGAUAUAUGUAUUUAUUUAUUUUAUCUUGUACAAUAUGACAUUGUGAGUAUUUCAAAGCUUCAUUUCAUAUUCAAAAAAUAACAAAUACAUUUCACUAUAUUUAUUAUUUACAUAUUAAUAAUAAUAAUUUAUUUUAAUU
This 1158-nucleotide long non-coding RNA is filed under the name Solanum tuberosum (potato). Its description in RNAcentral is "long non-coding RNA (STUB_LNC001709)". Lineage: Eukaryota; Viridiplantae; Streptophyta; Magnoliopsida; Solanales; Solanaceae. The record is from RNAcentral.